UGAGUGAUGAAGGCCUUAGGGUUGUAAAGCUCUUUCACCGGAGAAGAUAAUGACGGUAUCCGGAGAAGAAGCCCCGGCUAACUUCGUGCCAGCAGCCGCGGUAAUACGAAGGGGGCUAGCGUUGUUCGGAAUUACUGGGCGUAAAGCGUGCGCAGGCGGUUCGCUAAGACAGAUGUGAAAUCCCCGGGCUUAACCUGGGAACUGCAUUUGUGACUGGCGGGCUAGAGUAUGGCAGGGGGGGGUAGAAUUCCACGUGUAGCAGUGAAAUGCGUAGAGAUGUGGAGGAAUACCGAUGGCGAAGGCAGCCCCCUGGGCCAAUACUGACGCUCAUGCACGAAAGCGUGGGGAGCAAACAGGAUUAGAUACCCUGGUAGUCCACGCCCUAAACGA
This 390-nucleotide ribosomal RNA is filed under the name uncultured bacterium. Its description in RNAcentral is "bacterial SSU rRNA". It matches the Rfam family "Bacterial small subunit ribosomal RNA", at positions 402 to 809 of the family's 1533-position model. The record is from RNAcentral.